RNAcentral lists this ribosomal RNA (497 nucleotides) under uncultured bacterium. RNAcentral describes it as "partial 16S ribosomal RNA". It matches the Rfam family "Bacterial small subunit ribosomal RNA", at positions 28 to 507 of the family's 1533-position model. The record is from RNAcentral.
GAUGAACGCUGGCGGCGUGCCUAAUACAUGCAAGUCGAGCGAACGGACGAGAAGCUUGCUUCUCUGAUGUUAGCGGCGGACGGGUGAGUAACACGUGGAUAACCUACCUAUAAGACUGGGAUAACUUCGGGAAACCGGAGCUAAUACCGGAUAAUAUUUUGAACCGCAUGGUUCAAAAGUGAAAGACGGUCUUGCUGUCACUUAUAGAUGGAUCCGCGCUGCAUUAGCUAGUUGGUAAGGUAACGGCUUACCAAGGCAACGAUGCAUAGCCGACCUGAGAGGGUGAUCGGCCACACUGGAACUGAGACACGGUCCAGACUCCUACGGGAGGCAGCAGUAGGGAAUCUUCCGCAAAGGGCGAAAGCCUGACGGAGGAACGCCGCGUGAGUGAUGAAGGUCUUCGGAUCGUAAAACUCUGUUAUUAGGGAAGAACAUAUGUGUAAGUAACUGUGCACAUCUUGACGGUACCUAAUCAGAAAGCCACGGCUAACUACGUG